GUCAACUACAUCAAACCACAUCAACUGCGCGCACGCAUGUUCGCAAAACUAGGUGGAGAUAUGGGAUCAGAGCAUGACAAUGUUCUUUUUGUUAUCGAGGGUUUCUAACGGAAAACAACAUGAUAACUGUCCCACACGACUGAUGACUGCUCAACUCCAACGCUUGGAAGAGCACUUUGGGACCUACUUCCCAAUCCAUUUGACUGUGAUCCUGGCUCAGUUGACAUGUGGGAAGAUCGUAGAUCGCAUCGACACAGACAAGGAUGGUUUCGUGAGCCAUGGGGAACUGCACCAGUGGAUCAAACACAGGCAGAGGAGUCACAUUGAGGAGAAUGUGCUGAAGCACCGGAAGGAGUACGACCAGAACAAGGAUGGGAAGAUCGGCUGGGAGGAAUACAAAAACACCCCCUACAGCUACUACCUGGUUACGACAAGGGAGGGUAGCCUGACUUUGAGACAAAUGAGCGAGGGGGUUGUGAUUUUAAAAAGAUGACAAGGCGAGCUACAAGGCCAUGCUGACUAGAGACGAGAGGCUCUUUAGGACAGCUGACCGCGACGGGGACGGCAUCGCCACCAAGGUCUAGUUCACCGACCUUCCUUCACCCUGAGGAGUACGACCACAUGAAGACCGUUGUCAUACAGGAAACAGUAGAAGACAUUGACAAGAACGGUGAUAGAAAGAUCACCCUUGACGAAUACAUUGGCUCGUCUCUCCUUCAACCGACUACCGUCUUCCAAACAGAUAACAUGCAAUAUGUCAUCAACCAAACAUAAUAUCUGGUUCUUUAUACAUUUUAUGAGAUUUUAUGACAUUUAUGACAUUUUAUGAGAACAAAAAAUAUUUCAUUUAUUUUAUUACAAAUGUAUGAGUGAUAUUCUUGGGUCCACAACCAACUGUAUAUGUCAAAUGAAAAGUGUUGUGAAAAGACAUGUUCACACCUGAGAAUGGAGAGAGUGAACCAACCAGACUGGGUGCUGAUGCAGAAAAAACACUUCACAGAGUUUAGAGACAAUCGUCUUCUGCUACUGGAUCACCUUAACAACAUCCUCUCUCCUUAUACAUUACAAUAACAUCAUUAUAACAUCACUUUUUAAGUCAGUACACUUAAGGUACCCUACCCCUCAGACCAGCUAUGUCAAUACACACACACACACACACACACACACACACACACACACACACACACACACACACACACACACACACACACACACACACACACACACACACACACACACACACACACACACACACACACACACACACACACACACACACACACGCACCUCUUUCUGUGGACAUACUAAGUUAACAGGUUUGUGUCUGUGUUGUCAGCAUGGUUUGUAACAGCUCUCUAUGUGUGUGUUGUGUUGUCAGGAUGGUUUCCUGGAUAACCAUGAGGUAGCUCAGUGGAUCCUGCCAGGAGAGAUUGACCAUACUGACAAUGAGGCUAAGCACCUCAUCCACGAGACAGACACAGACAAGUCCCACACCCCUGUCUUACCUGGUUGGCAAAGUGUGCUGCAGAUGGGACACACGUAGCAGAAGUUGCACAUCUGAAGAAGGAAGGAGAAAAAGGAUGGUGAGACCUAACUCACAGUAUUCACAGUAUGAACAGAGGGAUCCUUUGUGAAACAGUUGAUUGUCCUCUUCCUCAUCGUCAUCAUCGUCAUUGUCGUCAUCAUCAUCGUUGUCAUCAGCUGCAGCCGGUUCAUCAUCAUCAUCGUCAUCAUUACCGUCAGCCUCUGUAAAAUAAGUUGUUCAUUCCCAUCCUAACACGUACAGUGGGGAGAACAAGUAUUUGAUACACUGCCGAUUUUGCAGGUUUUCCUACUUACAAAGCAUGUAGACGUCUGUCAUUUUUUAU
Molecule: RNA transcript, 1868 nt
Organism: Oncorhynchus gorbuscha (pink salmon)
Lineage: Eukaryota; Metazoa; Chordata; Actinopteri; Salmoniformes; Salmonidae
Gene name: reticulocalbin-1-like
Exons: 7
Source: RefSeq, a predicted model, not a curated record